This 520-nucleotide ribosomal RNA is filed under the name bacterium Ca.SX. RNAcentral describes it as "bacterial SSU rRNA". It matches the Rfam family "Bacterial small subunit ribosomal RNA", at positions 124 to 658 of the family's 1533-position model. The record is from RNAcentral.
ACCUGCCCUUAACUCUGGGAUAUUUUGGGAAACUGGGUCUAAUACCGGAUAUGACUCCUCAUCGCAUGGUGGGGGGUGGAAAGCUUUUUGUGGUUUUGGAUGGACUCGCGGCCUAUCAGCUUGUUGGUGAGGUAAUGGCUUACCAAGGCGACGACGGGUAGCCGGCCUGAGAGGGUGACCGGCCACACUGGGACUGAGACACGGCCCAGACUCCUACGGGAGGCAGCAGUGGGGAAUAUUGCACAAUGGGCGCAAGCCUGAUGCAGCGACGCCGCGUGAGGGAUGACGGCCUUCGGGUUGUAAACCUCUUUCAGUAGGGAAGAAGCGAAAGUGACGGUACCUGCAGAAGAAGCGCCGGCUAACUACGUGCCAGCAGCCGCGGUAAUACGUAGGGCGCAAGCGUUAUCCGGAAUUAUUGGGCGUAAAGAGCUCGUAGGCGGUUUGUCGCGUCUGCCGUGAAAGUCCGGGGCUCAACUCCGGAUCUGCGGUGGGUACGGGCAGACUAGAGUGAUGUAGGGGA